CAGCAGCCGCGGGAAUACGUAGGUGGCAAGCGUUGUCCGGAAUUAUUGGGCGUAAAGGGCUCGCAGGCGGUUUCUUAAGUCUGACGUGAAAGCCCCCGGCUCAACCGGGGAGGGUCAUUGGAAACUGGGAAACUUGAGUGCAGAAGAGGAGAGUGGAAUUCCACGUGUAGCGGUGAAAUGCGUAGAGAUGUGGAGGAACACCAGUGGCGAAGGCGACUCUCUGGUCUGUAACUGACGCUGAGGAGCGAAAGCGUGGGGAGCGAACAGGAUUAGAUACCCCGGUAGUCCCUGUCUCUUAUAC
Molecule: ribosomal RNA, 301 nt
Filed under: uncultured bacterium
Lineage: Bacteria
Description: partial 16S ribosomal RNA
Rfam family: Bacterial small subunit ribosomal RNA
Source: RNAcentral